This 77-nucleotide non-coding RNA is filed under the name bovine gut metagenome. Its description in RNAcentral is "Cyclic di-GMP-I riboswitch". It matches the Rfam family "c-di-GMP-I riboswitch aptamer". Rfam says of the family: GEMM was predicted in a large-scale screen for bacterial structured RNA regulatory elements. The record is from RNAcentral.
UAGACAAAAGCAAAACCACAGUAAUGUGGUGACGCAAAGCUAUAGGGUCUUUAUAAGAGAAGACAGCCAGUUGCCAA